RNAcentral lists this long non-coding RNA (330 nucleotides) under Pongo abelii (Sumatran orangutan). RNAcentral's name for it is "lincRNA". The record is from RNAcentral. Lineage: Eukaryota; Metazoa; Chordata; Mammalia; Primates; Hominidae.
GGGACUGUGACAGCAUCACAGCAGGACGAGUGCUCUGUGAUCCUCACGCACCAGGUGUCUCGGGAGCAGAGGAGGUGGCUCCGCACAAGGCCACGUGGCGCCGAUGUGACGGGGGAGGACGGCGAACGCCAGGCUCAUCAAGCUUUCCAAUUUGAGUCUUCAGAUAGAUGGACAGACCCACACAGGGGACAACAAAUCAACCGGCAAAUGAAGCAUUCAGCCAGCUUGGGAGUUCUGCUUUCCAUUUUAAAUUAAUACACUGGCCUUCUGGUUUGUACAUCGGUUGUCCUCCCAUGGGUCUGGCUGGCAGGCGUUGUUUUCUGAGGGGCU